CGUGCUAACAUACAUUCUAUUUGCGUUUUCAAGAGGCUUCAGAAGAGGACCAGACGAUCCUGGCAGAAACAGUUUGAAGUUGUGAAGAACAUAUUAUCCUCAUAAAAAAAUGGCUAGAGGAAGUCGCAGUGCCAGUCGUUCUUCGGCACCAACCAGGUUAUCAACCUCUCCCUCAACGUGAUCAAGACCAAGGAGAUGAUUGUGGACUACAGAAAAAGGAGGUCUGGGAACACCCCCAUUCUCAUCAACGGGGCUGUAGUGGAGCAGGUUGAGAGCUUCAAGUUCCUUGGUGUCCACAUCACCAACAAACUAUCAUGGUCCAAACACAACAAGACAGUCGAAGAGGACACGACAACGCCUAUUCCCCCUCGGGAGACUGAAAAGAUUUGGCAUGGGUCCUCAGAUCCUCAAAAAUGUCUACAGCUGCACCAUGGGGUUAGAAGCUGGUUGCAUCACCACCUGGUAUGGCAACUGCUCGGCCUCCGUGACACAAGGCACAACAGAAGGUAGUGUGUACGACCCACAUUACUGGGGCCAAGCUUCCGGCCAUCCAGGACCUCUAUACCAGGCGGUGUCAGAGGAAGGCCCAAAAAGGACUCCAGCCACCCUAGUCAUAGACUGUUCUCUCUGCUACCGCACGGCAAGCGGUACCGGAGCACCAAGUCUAGGUCCAAAAGAUUUCUAAACAGCUUCUAACCCCAUAACACUCCUGAACAGUUAAUGAAAUGGCUACCUGGACUAUUUGCAUUGUCCCCACCCCCAUUUUUAUGCUGCUGCUACUCUCCGUUUAUUAGCCAUGCAUAGUCACUUUACUUCUACCUAGAUGUACAUAUUACCUCAAUUACCUCGACUAACUGGUGCCCUAGCACAAUGACUCUGUACCGGUACCCCCUGUAUAUAGCCUCGCUAUUGUUAUUUUACUGCUGCUCUUUAAUUAUUUGUUAUUUUUAUCUCUAACUUGUUUUAGGUAUUUACGUAAAACUGCAUUGUUGGUGUAUCCCUCUCUGGUGCUAUGUUUGGACGUUAGCCAACAGCCAGUGAAAUUGCAGGGCACCAAACUCAAAACAGAAAUCUCAUGAUUAAAAUUCCUCAAACAUACAAGUAUUAUACACCAUUUUAAAGGUACACUUCUCGUUAAUCCAGCCACAGUCGGAUUUCAAAAAGGCUUUACGGAGAAAGCAGACCUUGUUAGGUCAGCGCCUAGUCACAGAAAAACAUACAGCCAUUUUCCAAAGAAGGAAAGGUGUCACAAAACUCAGAAAUAACGUUAUACAUAUUCAUUUACCUUUGAUGAUCUUCAUCGGAAUGCACUCCCAGGAAUCCCAGUUCCACAAUAAAUGUUUGUUUUGUUCGAUAAAGUCCAUAAUUUAUGUCCAAAUACCUCCUUUUUGUUCACGCGUUUAGCCCAGUAAUCCAAAUGCACAAUGCGCGAGCAAUUAGUUCAGAUGAAAAGUCCAAAAAGUUAUAUUACAGUUCGUAGAAACAUGUCAAACAAUGUAUAGAAUCUAUCUUUAGGAUGUUUUAAUCAGAAAUCUUCAAUAAUGUUUCAACCGGACAAUUCCUUUGUCUUUAGAAAUUAAAAGGAAUGCAGCUCGCUCUCACAGCCGCCCGCCUGACUUAGCUCAUGGUAUUCUGACAGACCUCUUAGUCAAACAGCUCUUAUUUGCUCCCCCUUCACAGUCGAAGCCUGAAACAAGGUUCUAAAGACCGUUGACAUCUAGUGGAAGCCUUGUGAAGUGCAAUAUGACCCCAUAUACACUGUAUAUUGGAUAGGCAAAGACUUGAAAACCAACAAACCUCAGAUUUCCCACUUCUUGGUGGAUUUUUUCUCAGGUUUUUGCCUGCCAUAUGAGUUAUGUUAUACUCCCAGACAUCAUUCAAACAGUUUUGUUUUCUAUCCAAAUCUACUAAUUAUAUGCAUAUUCUAGCUUUUGGGCCUUAGCAGGCAGAUUACUCUGGGCACCUUAUUCAUCCAAGCUACUCAAUACUGCCCCCAGUCCAAGAGAAGGGUUUUAAAUAAGCAUUCACUGUAAGGUUGUAUUGUAUUCGGCGCAUGUGGCAAAUAAAAUUUGAUUCCAUUUCAUAUCUAGGAAAACCAACUUUCCAAAGACUGUACCUAAAAUAGUGUAUAAGCAAUCAUACAAGAGGUAUUGCAAUGAUUCCGAUGUUGAAGAUGUGCGUAAUGAGGAACAUUCUGACGCUGCACUGAAAACAUUGAUGAAAUUGCUACUUCCGGUUACUGACAGGCAUGUACCCAUAAAGAAACUGACUGUUAAGACUGCUAUCCCCAUGGAUAGAAGAUUAAUUGACAAACUGUAUGGCUGAGAAGGACGAUGUUAAGGGAAUGGCAAACAAGUCUGCUAACACAGCAGAUUGGCAAACAUACAGUAAGUUGAGAAAUCCCGUAACUAAACUAAACAAAUAUGAAACUAGGUCUCAACCAAGUUACAUAUCUUUCCGAUUUGGUCAUAACUACACGUACGCUACGGUCACAAGACGCAGGCCUUCUUACUGUCCCUAGAAUUUCUAAGCAAACAGCUGGAGGCAGGGCUUUCUCCUAUAGAGCACCAUUUUUAUGGAAUGGUCUGCCUACCCAUGUGAGAGACGCAGACUCGGUCUCAACCUUUAAGUCUUUAUUGAAGACUCAUCUCUUCAGUAGGUCCUAUGAUUGAGUGUAGUCUGGCCCAGGAAUGUGAAGGUGAACAGAAAGGCUCUGGAGCAACAGACCACCCAUGCUGUCUCUGCCUGGACGGUUCUCCUCUCUCCACUGGGAUUCUCUGCCUCUAACCCUAUUACAGGGGCUGAGUCACUGGCCCUAGGAGGGGUGCAUCACUUGAGUGGGUUGAGUCACUGAUGUGAUCUUCCUGUCCGGGUUGGUGCCCCCCCUUGGGUUGUGCCGUGGCGGAGAUCUUUGUGGGCUAUACUCUGCCUCUGGUAAAUUGGUGAUUGAAGAUACCCUUCUAGUGGUGUGGGGGUUGUGCUUUGGCAAAGUGGGUUGGGUUAUAUCCUGCCUGUUUGGCCCUGUCCGGGGGUAUCGUCGGAUGGGGCCACAGUGUCUCCCGACCCCUGCUGUCUCAGCCUCCAGCAUUUAUGUAGUUUAUGUGUUUGGGGGCUAGGGUCAGUCUGUUAUAUCUGCGGUAUUUCUCCUGUCUUAUCUGGUGUCCUGUGUGAAUUUAAGUAUGCUCCCUCUAAUUCUCUCUCUUUCUCUCUUUCUUUCCUCCUUCUCUCUUCUUUCUUUCUCUCCCUCGGAGAACCUGAGCCCUAGGACCAUGCCUCAGGACUACCUGGCCUGAUGACUCCUUGCUGUCCACAGUCCACCUGGCCGUGCCAGUCUAACAGGCCACUCUAAAAUGUGCAGUUUUGUCAGACAACACAACACCACAGAUGUCUCAAGUUUUGAGGGAGCAUGCAAUUGGCAUGCCUGUUUUUAAGGUAUCUGUGACCAACAGAUGCAUAUCUAGCUAUUCUUUGAGUCAGCUACUCAGCUACUGUAGCUUAUGCUUUCAGUACAAGAUUCAUUCUCUGAUCCUUUGAUUGGGUGGACAACAUGUCAGUUCAUGGAAAGGGGUGAGAACCGCGAGCCUCCUACGUUUUGUAUUGAAGUCAAGGUACCCAGAGGAGGACGGAAACUAGCUGUCCUCCAGCUAAACCAUGGUGCUACCUUACAAAGUGCUGUUGAGGAUACUGUAGACCUUCAUUGCAAAACACACCCAUUGUCAUUACUUUACGUGAAUUGAUAUCUCAGAAUUUUUAAAUGUGAAAAAUUUGAAUACAAAAUCAUUGGUUUAGCUUCUAUCUAUUCUGUGGCUGCAUGAAAUAGCAAACAUAACGUGAAUUCAGUGAAGACAUCACCUCAUCUUUGUGGCUCCCUGAUGAAGCGGUAACAUCCAUGACUGUAGAUAGACAAUGAAUGAAUUAAUGGGUUAGUUAUAAAAAAUCUUGAGCAGGUGUUUGGCUCCUUCUCGACGCUGUGUGCACACAUAUACACGCUGAAAUCUGCGCCCAUUGUGACGUAUGGCACCGCCCGUGACAAGAGUAUGUCCCUUGCCACUAGCCUAGCCGAGCAAGGAGUUUUUGUACGGAGGUCAAUGAGAGAGUGUCGAAUUGUAUCAACAACAAAAAUGGAUGGCUUAUCUGCUAUGUGAGGUUUAUUUGGUCGAAUAGAAGAGUCGUAAUGCUUAAUUAAGUUGUUAGGAGUGCACUGAUAUAAGUAGGACAUGUGACAUCCUGGCAACUUUGAGGAAAAUUGUUUAUAUCGGGGCCGCCUCAAGAUGGCUGUGCAUAUUCAUGGCAUGAGGCUAGUAGCAUAGCAUCUCUAUCUAUUGAAAACAGGCGGUUGACGUCAACAACCCUCAUCAAAUAUUCAAAAAACUAUUACAAUAAUGAGAUGUAUCCACCAAUCCAAAGAAAAGAUAGGCGGGAGCUAGACAGCCCGCCGUGCCGCUUUGUGGACAACGAUUCCCAUUGUUGGGGCGUAGAGACAUGCAUCCUGUCAGUAUAUACAUCAUAUUUGGCCAAGAGGAUAAUAGGAAUUUACUAAGUGGGAACCUGAGGUGGGAACUGUACCAACAAAUCACAGCUUGUGAGAUAUUAACGUCAUGGCAGCAACGUUACUGUCCUGGCAGAAACAUCAAGACUUCCGGUUUUCAGAUUUUACCAUCAAAAUAAAAGUCUGUGGGAAAACACUGUGUGUAUGAUACGAAAUCAAUCAUUUUUUCAGCUUUGUCCAUAAUGCAUAAAGUUAAAAUAAUGUUACAAAAAAUCUAAACCAAAGAUAAUUCCUGCUUUAUACAUGAUAAAUCAUAUUAUAAGGUGGAGCACAUUGAUAAAUGGAACAUAAUACUCUACAGACCCUAUUGAAGUAGCACGAGUGUCUACAGUGCAUUCGGAAAGUACUGAGAACCCUUCACUUUUUCCAUAUUUUGUUAGGGUACAGCCUUAUUCUAAAAUGGUUUAAAUAGUUUUGUUUUCACACAAUACCUCAUAAUGACAAAGCAGAAACAGGUUUUUAGAAAUCGUUGCUAAUUUAUAGUAAAAAAAUAACACAAAUAUCACAUUUACAUAACUAUUCAGCCCCUUUAAUCAGUAUUUCUUGAAGCACCUUUGGUAGCGAUUACAGCCUUGGGUGUGAUGAAUGGGUGUAGACAAAGAAAAGCUCUCCAGUAGGUACCAAAACAUUCAAAGGCCAUUUUCUCAAAAGUGAGGUUACAAGUUGAUCAAUUUCAAAGCAGAAUUACUUUCCCAUUGUUCCUCAAAUGCAGUGUAUGAUAUACCACAUUGUAGCUCUGAGUAUCUACUUUUAUCCAAUGUAAAAAACACAAUUUCAAAUGUUGCUACAUAACCUUUAUCCAAACUGACUUAGUCAUGCAUGCGUACAUUUUACAUUUGGGUGGUCCGGGAAUCAAACUCACUACCCUUGCGUUACAAGUAGAGGUCGACCGAUUAAUCAGAAUGGCCGAUUAAUUCGAUUUUCAUAACAAUCGGAAAUCUGUAUUUUUGGGCGCCGAUUUGCCGAUUUAAAAAAAAAAAAAAUUAUACCUUUAUUUAACUAGGCAAGUCAGUUAAGAACACAUUCUUAUUUUCAAUGACUGCCUAGGAACGGUGAGUUAACUGCCUUGUUCAGGGGCAGAGCGACAGAUUUUUACCUUGUCAGCUCGGGGGAUUCAAUCUUGCAACCUUACAGUUAAUUAGUCCAACACAACAACGUUCUGCCUCACUCUCGUUGCACUCCACAAGGAGUGCAGUAAGCCAAGGUAAAUUGCUAGAUAGCAUUAAACUUAUCUUACAAAAAACAAUCAAUCAUAAUCACUAGUUAACUACACAUGGUUGAUGAUAUUACUAGAUAUUAUCUAGCGUGUCUUGCGUUGCAUAUAAUCUGACUAAGCAUACAAGUAUCUAAGUAUCUGACUGAGUGGUGGUAGGCAGAAGCAGGCGCGUAAACAUUCAUUCAAACUGCACUUUCGGGCAUUUUGCCAGCAGCUCUUCUUUGUGCAUCAAGCAUUGAGCUGUUUAUGACUUCAAGCCUAUCAACUCCCGAGAUGAGGCUGGUGAAACCGAAGUGAAAUGGCUAGCUAGUUAGCGUGCGCUAAUUAAUAGUGUUUCAAACAUCACUCGCUCUGAGCCUUCUAGUAGUUGUUCCCCUUGCUCUGCAUGGGUAAUGCUGCUUCGAUGGUGGCUGUUGUCAUUGUGUUUCUGGUUCGAGCCCAGGGAGGAGCGAGGAGAGGGACGGAAGCUAUACUGUUACACUGGCAAUACUAAAGUGCCUAUAAGAACAUCCAAUAGUCAAAGGUUAAUGAAAUACAAAUGGUAUAGAGGGAAAUAGUCUUAUAAUUCCUAUAAUAACUACAACCUAAAACUUCUUACCUGGGAAUAUUGAAGACUCAUGUUAAAAGGAACCACCAGCUUUCAUAUGUUCUGAGCAAGGAACUGAAACGUUAGCUUUCUUACAUAGCACAUAUUGCACUUUUACUUUCUUCUCCAACACUUUGUUUUUGCAUUAUUUAAAUCAAAUUGAACAUGUUUCAUUAUUUACUUGUGGCUAAAUUGAUUUUAUUGAUGUAUUAUAUUAAGUUAAAAUAAGAGUUCAUUCAGUAUUGUUGUAAUUGUCAUUAUUACAAAUAAAACAUUUUAAAUUGUCCGAUUAAUCUGUAUCGGCUUUUUUGGUCCUCCAAUAAUCAGUGUUGAAAAAUCAUAAUCGGUCGACCUCUAGUUACAAGCAUCAUGCUCUACUAACUGAGCUACAAAGGACCUCAAAGGAGAGGGUGCCCAGUCUAUGUGUAUUCAGUGUUUAGCUGUGUUUAUGUUUAUGAUGUAAUUUCAAACCAAAUGUAACAGAAAACUAGGAGGCACAACUUCAAUUUAGUUUGGUGUUUCUUUGCCUUUGAAGCAUCUUUUGAUUGACACGAUGAACCCUGUGCCCUCGGGCCUGUUUGGUCUCUUCCUUGUGUUUUGACUGCCUCCGCUCUUCCAUUACAGUUAACUGCCUUGUUCAGGGGCAGAACGACAGAUUUUUUACCUUGUCAGCUCAGGGAUUCUAUCUAGCUACAUUUCAGUUACUUGCCCAAUGCUCUAACCACUAGGAUACCUUUCAGCCAAAAGGCAGGGAUACAAUUUCUCCAAAAAUGUCACUCCCACUGGUCCAGAAUCAUCCUUUGCAUGACCAGGUAAUUCGUCAUCACUCUCGUCGGGUUCAAUUUCUUAGCCAUCAGAGACAGCAGAGUACAGUUUAUACUUGGUGUCGUUUUUUCCUCAGCACACAUAUUUCCUCUGCACUCGGCUCUUCUUCUUCCACGCUGUCCAUAACCACGUCUGUCAGUUCACCAUGCUCUUGCACCGCAUUCUUCCGCUAUAUUGGUUGCAGAACACGCACUGAUGGCCUUUCUCCAAUACCCAACUUCUGUUCCUUAGCCCAAUUUACUCAUCUGGCUCCUCUCCUGCCUCUACAUGCUUGUAAAAAGUGGGAUACUCUUUAUCUGAGAUCAGUGUCCUCGUCUUGAUAUAUCAAAGUUUGCUGAUGUUUUUUUGAAGAAACCCGCCAUCUGAGAUUUCUAAACAACACUUCCACUCUGGCCAGGUGUUAAGGGAAUUUUGAUCAAUAAUGACUAAUUAUGUAUACAUUUCAAUCUGGACUGACUAAUCAGAAUACUAUUAUGUUACUGUAUAUAUACUAAUCAGAAUACUAUUAUGUUACUGUAUAUGUAUGAAUUUUAUUUUUAAUCUUAGUACUGAAUAUAAUGUGUGUAAAUAUAAUCAAGAAUUAGAACAAUGACUGUCUGUUCCUUGGUAGAAAUGAAUGAACUAUAUCUUCAGACUGGCUAGAAUGCUUAUCGACACAAGAAGACCUUGGCUCGGGCAUAAAUGAUAUUAAAUUGGUAGGGAGACGAUGUGGGAAGGCUUGAGAUACUGCCUUUGUACCAGGGUGGGAGAAGAGACGGGUUGUUACUGGAACUAAUGACGUCAUUUUCAGUUUAUAACCUGUGGUAAACUGUAUCGUGUUCAGUAAUCUCGUGAAUAAAAGCUGCUAUUUGACUUUAA
This is a long non-coding RNA of Oncorhynchus keta (chum salmon), 8034 nucleotides long. RefSeq lists it as uncharacterized. The record is from RefSeq and is a predicted model, not a curated record. The transcript is spliced from 2 exons. NCBI's taxonomy places the organism in Eukaryota, Metazoa, Chordata, Actinopteri, Salmoniformes, Salmonidae.